CUUGGUCAUUUAGAGGAAGUAAAAGUCGUAACAAGGUCUCCGUUGGUGAACCAGCGGAGGGAUCAUUACCGAGUUUACAACUCCCAAACCCCUGUGAACAUACCUAUACGAUGCCUCGGCGGAUCAGCCCGCGCCCUGUAAAAAGGGACGGCCCGCCCGAGGACCCUAAACUCUGUUUUUAGUGGAACUUCUGAGUAAAACAAACAAAUAAAUCAAAACUUUCAACAACGGAUCUCUUGGUUCUGGCAUCGAUGAAGAACGCAGCAAAAUGCGAUAAGUAAUGUGAAUUGCAGAAUUCAGUGAAUCAUCGAAUCUUUGAACGCACAUUGCGCCCCUUGGUAUUCCGAGGGGCAUGCCUAUUCGAGCGUCAUUAUCACCCCUCAAGCCUAGCUUGGUGUUGAGACCUGCUGUCAAGGCAGUCUCUAAAAUCAGUGGCAGUGCUGUCAGGCUCUAAGCGUAGUAAAUCUAAUCGCUAUAGACACCUGGUGGACACUCGCCAGAACCCCCCCAUUUUUUAAUGAUUGACCUCGGAUUAGGUAGGGAUACCCGCUGAACUUAAGCAUAUCAAUAAGCGGAGGA
Molecule: unclassified non-coding RNA, 579 nt
Filed under: uncultured fungus
Lineage: Eukaryota; Fungi
Description: sequence contains ITS1, 5.8S rRNA gene and ITS2
Rfam family: 5.8S ribosomal RNA (bases 217-370)
Source: RNAcentral